This 1333-nucleotide ribosomal RNA is filed under the name uncultured Campylobacterota bacterium. RNAcentral describes it as "bacterial SSU rRNA". It matches the Rfam family "Bacterial small subunit ribosomal RNA". The record is from RNAcentral. Lineage: Bacteria; Pseudomonadati; Campylobacterota.
AGUCGAACGAGAACGGCUCUAGCUUGCUAGAGUGUCAGCUAAGUGGCGGACGGGUGAGUAAUGUAUAGUUAAUCUGCCCCUUGGAGAGGGAUAACAGUUGGAAACGACUGCUAAUACCUCAUACUCCUUUCUUUUUAAUGAAGAUUGGGAAAUGGUUUAUUCUGCCAAGGGAUGAGACUAUAUGAUAUCAGUUAGUUGGUGGGGUAAAAGCCUACCAAGACUAUGACAUCUAGCUGGUCUGAGAGGAUGAUCAGCCACACUGGAACUGAGACACGGUCCAGACUCCUACGGGAGGCAGCAGUGGGGAAUAUUGCACAAUGGAGGAAACUCUGAUGCAGCAACGCCGCGUGGAGGAUGACACAUUUCGGUGCGUAAACUCCUUUUAUAUGGGAAGAUAAUGACGGUACCAUAUGAAUAAGCACCGGCUAACUCCGUGCCAGCAGCCGCGGUAAUACGAAGCGCGCGCAGGCGGGCUGAUAAGUUGGAUGUGAAAGCCUACGGCUCAACCGUAGAACUGCAUCCAAAACUGUCAGUCUAGAGUCUGGGAGGGGAAGAUGGAAUUAGUUGUGUAGGGGUAAAAUCCGUAGAGAUAACUAGGAAUACCAAAAGCGAAGGCGAUCUUCUGGAACAGUACUGACGCUGAGGCGCGAAAGCGUGGGGAGCAAACAGGAUUAGAUACCCUGGUAGUCCACGCCCUAAACGAUGAAUGUUAGUCGUCGGAGGCCUAGUGUCUUCGGUGAUGCAGCUAACGCAUUAAACAUUCCGCCUGGGGAGUACGGUCGCAAGAUUAAAACUCAAAGGAAUAGACGGGGACCCGCACAAGUGGUGGAGCAUGUGGUUUAAUUCGAAGAUACGCGAAGAACCUUACCUAGCCUUGACAUAUAUUAGAAUCCGACAGAGAUGUUGGAGUGCCUUCGGGAGCUUUUAUACAGGUGCUGCACGGCUGUCGUCAGCUCGUGUCGUGAGAUGUUGGGUUAAGUCCCGCAACGAGCGCAACCCUCGUCACUAGUUACUAACGGUUCGGCCGAGGACUCUAGUGAGACUGCCUUCGCAAGGAGGAGGAAGGUGAGGACGACGUCAAGUCAUCAUGGCCCUUACGGCUAGGGCAACACACGUGCUACAAUGGGCAGGACAAUGAGACGCGAUACCGCGAGGUGGAGCAAAUCUAUAAACCUGUUCUCAGUUCGGAUUGUAGUCUGCAACUCGACUACAUGAAGCUGGAAUCACUAGUAAUCGUAGAUCAGCUAUGCUACGGUGAAUACGUUCCCGGGUCUUGUACUCACCGCCCGUCACACCAUGGGAGUUGAUUUCACCCGAAGCGGGGAAGCUAAAC